CAUGUACUCCCUUCGUUCGGGAUUACUCGUCAAAGAAAUGAAUGUAUCUAAAUGUAUUUUAGUUGUAGAUACAUCCAUUUUUAUGACAAGUAAUUUCGAACGGAGAGAGUAAAAG
Non-coding RNA from Triticum aestivum (bread wheat), 115 nucleotides. The record is from Rfam. Lineage: Eukaryota; Viridiplantae; Streptophyta; Magnoliopsida; Poales; Poaceae.